This 429-nucleotide ribosomal RNA is filed under the name Bacteroidota bacterium. RNAcentral describes it as "Bacteroidetes bacterium partial 16S ribosomal RNA". It matches the Rfam family "Bacterial small subunit ribosomal RNA", at positions 355 to 776 of the family's 1533-position model. Lineage: Bacteria; Pseudomonadati; Bacteroidota. The record is from RNAcentral.
UAGGGAAUCUUCGGCAAUGGGGGGAACCCUGACCGAGCAACGCCGCGUGAGUGAAGAAGGUUUUCGGAUCGUAAAGCUCUGUUGUUAAGGAAGAACGAGUGUGAGAAUGGAAAGUUCAUGCUGUGACGGAACUUAACCAGAAAGGGACGGCUAACUACGUGCCAGCAGCCGCGGUAAUAAGUAGGUCCCGAGCGUUUUUCGGAUUUAUUGGGCGUAAAGCGAGCGCAGGCGGUUAGAAAAGUCUGAAGUGAAAGGCAGUGGCUCAACCAUUGUAGGUUUUGGAAACUGUUUAACUUUAGUGCAGAAGGGGAGAGUGGAAUUCCAUGUGUAGCGGUGAAAUGCGUAGAUAUAUGGAGGAACACCGGUGGCGAAAGCGGCUCUCUGGUCUGUAACUGACGCUGAGGCUCGAAAGCGUGGGGAGCGAACAGG